Molecule: ribosomal RNA, 473 nt
Filed under: uncultured bacterium
Lineage: Bacteria
Description: bacterial SSU rRNA
Rfam family: Bacterial small subunit ribosomal RNA
Source: RNAcentral
GACGAACGCUGGCGGCGUGCCUAACACAUGCAAGUCGAGCGAGAAUUUAGUAUUGGAGACUUCGGUCAAAGAUAUUAAAGGAGAGCGGCGGACGGGUGAGUAACGCGUGAGUAACCUGCCUUAUGGAGGGGGACAACAGUUAGAAAUGACUGCUAAUACCGCAUGAGACCACAAGAUCGCAUGGUCAAGGGGUCAAAGAUUUAUCGGUGAUAGAUGGGCUCGCGUCUGAUUAGCUAGUUGGUGAGGUAACGGCCCACCAAGCCGACGAUGGGUAGCCGAGCUGAGAGGCUGAUCGGCCACACUGGAACUGAGACACGGUCCAGACUCCUACGGGAGCAGCAGUGGGGAAUAUUGGGCAAUGGGGAAACCCUGACCCAGCAACGCCGCGUGAGGAGAAGUUUCGGAUUGUAAACCUCUGUCGCAGGGGACGAAGAAUGACGGUACCCUGUAAGAAAGCCCCGGCUAACUACGUG